UGAGCAAUCUGCCCUUCUCAUCGGAAUAAGCGUUGGAAACGACGUCUAAUGCCGAAUACGACCUCCUUUCGCAUGAUCGGAGGUGGAAAGCUCCGGCGGAGAAGGAUGAGCUCGCGGCCUAUCAGCUAGUUGGUGUGGGUAACGGCCCACCAAGGCGACGACGGGUAGCCGGCCUGAGAGGGUGACCGGCCACACUGGGACUGAGACACGGCCCAGACUCCUACGGGAGGNAGCG
RNAcentral lists this ribosomal RNA (235 nucleotides) under uncultured bacterium. Its description in RNAcentral is "partial 16S ribosomal RNA". It matches the Rfam family "Bacterial small subunit ribosomal RNA", at positions 118 to 353 of the family's 1533-position model. The record is from RNAcentral.